This 611-nucleotide ribosomal RNA is filed under the name bacterium C-TJ26. Its description in RNAcentral is "bacterial SSU rRNA". It matches the Rfam family "Bacterial small subunit ribosomal RNA", at positions 8 to 594 of the family's 1533-position model. The record is from RNAcentral.
AGAGUUUGAUCCUGGCUCAGGACGAACGCUGGCGGCGUGCCUAAUACAUGCAAGUCGAACGCUGCUUAAGAAGAAACUUCGGUUUUUUCUUAAGCGGAGUGGCGGACGGGUGAGUAACACGUGGGGAACCUAUCCAUCAGCGGGGGAUAACACUUGGAAACAGGUGCUAAUACCGCAUACGGCUUUUUUUCACCUGAAAGAAAGCUCAAAGGCGCUUUACAGCGUCACUGAUGGCUGGCCCCGCGGUGCAUUAGCCAGUUGGUGAGGUAACGGCUCACCAAAGCAACGAUGCAUAGCCGACCUGAGAGGGUGAUCGGCCACACUGGGACUGAGACACGGCCCAGACUCCUACGGGAGGCAGCAGUAGGGAAUCUUCGGCAAUGGACGCAAGUCUGACCGAGCAACGCCGCGUGAGUGAAGAAGGUUUUCGGAUCGUAAAGCUCUGUUGUCAGCAAAGAACAGGAGAAAGAGGCAAUGCUUUUUCUAUGACGGUAGCUGACCAGAAAGCCACGGCUAACUACGUGCCAGCAGCCGCGGUAAUACGUAGGUGGCAAGCGUUGUCCGGAUUUAUUGGGCGUAAAGCGAGCGCAGGCGGUGAUUUAAGUCUGAUG